UACAGAGGGUGCGAGCGUUGUUCGGAAUUAUUGGGCGUAAAGGGCGCGUAGGCGGCGCCACAAGUCACUUGUGAAAACUCUGGGCUCAACUCAGAGCCUGCAAGCGAAACUGUGGUGCUGGAGUAUGGGAGAGGUGCGUGGAAUUCCCGGUGUAGCGGUGAAAUGCGUAGAUAUCGGAAGGAACACCAGUGGCGAAAGCGGCUUCCUGGUCCAGCACCGACGUUCAGGCACGAAAGCGUGGGGAGCAAACAGG
RNAcentral lists this ribosomal RNA (253 nucleotides) under uncultured bacterium. RNAcentral describes it as "partial 16S ribosomal RNA". It matches the Rfam family "Bacterial small subunit ribosomal RNA", at positions 524 to 776 of the family's 1533-position model. The record is from RNAcentral.